Molecule: transfer-messenger RNA, 370 nt
Filed under: Eubacteriales
Lineage: Bacteria; Bacillati; Bacillota; Clostridia
Also listed under: 1 other name
Description: HGM12713 sp017935225 Standard tmRNA
Rfam family: transfer-messenger RNA
About the family: Bacterial tmRNA, also known as 10Sa RNA or SsrA, is named for its dual tRNA and mRNA-like properties.
Source: RNAcentral
GGGCCCGUAAAGGUUUCGACGGGGAUUUUGAGGUAUGAUAAGCGGGUAGAGCCGGGCAAUCUCUAUAAAGGCCCAAAUUUUAAAAUUAAACGCUAACGAAAACGUUGCAAUGGCUGCCUAAGGGCAGUGCCGUGGCCAUAAGCGCCACCCGUUCCUCCGAAGAGUAUCGCGGCUUCGGACUGAGCGUCAAGUAAGCGGUGAACGUGCGUCGGCCUUUCGCCAUUGAGCCGACCACGCAAAAAAUGGCUACCCAAGAGCGAAGUCUGUCUGCUGACGGCGCACAAGGGGAAAUUCAAAUAACAGACUGCACCCGGAGAAAGUUGUAUCAAGAGGUUUUCGGACAGGGGUUCAAUUCCCCUCGGGUCCACCA